GAGAGCAACCUUUCCAGCUCUGCGAUGCGAAUGAGGUAUUUCUGACUCAUGACCGUUUUUAUAAUGCGGUCAGGAGUUUUUUACAACAUUGUCAGUGAGUUACGGCUGGAUGUUUUUGGCUGACGCCAGUCCAGCUUAUCGAGGAGCAUUGCCAGUUGCGAGCGGGUAAUGGAUACCUUGCCGUCACGUACCGCAGGCCAGAUAAACUGGCCUUCCUCCAGGCGUUUGGUGAACAGGCACAGACCAUCAGCAUCAGCCCAAAGAAUUUUGACGGUGUCACCCCGUCGGCCACGGAAGAUAAACAGGUGACCGGAGAAGGGAUUAUCAUUCAGCACGUAUUGUACCUGUUCUCCCAGUCCGUUGAAGGAUUUACGCAUAUCGGUAACGCCGGCAACGAGCCAGAUACGGGUACCUGAUGGGAGUGAGAUCAUCUUCCCCUCCCGGUCAGUUCACGGAUCAACACCGUGAGCAGCUCUGGCGAUGGAUUUUCCAGCGUCAUGUUACCGUGACGGAAUUCCACCUUGCAGGAACUGGCACUGACUCUGGUCUGAGUGGAAGUGGAUAAAGACGGCGCAAUUGGCCGCCACAGGUUCUUUCUGCUCAUCCGGCGUUAUUU
RNAcentral lists this ribosomal RNA (616 nucleotides) under Escherichia coli P0301867.1. Its description in RNAcentral is "partial 23S ribosomal RNA". The record is from RNAcentral. Lineage: Bacteria; Pseudomonadati; Pseudomonadota; Gammaproteobacteria; Enterobacterales; Enterobacteriaceae.